Molecule: RNA transcript, 1041 nt
Organism: Homo sapiens (human)
Lineage: Eukaryota; Metazoa; Chordata; Mammalia; Primates; Hominidae
Gene: RPS2P32
Gene name: ribosomal protein S2 pseudogene 32
Exons: 1
Source: RefSeq, marked validated
CUGCUUCUCCGAGAAAACACCAAAUGGCGGAUGACGCCAGUGCAGAGGGCGGGGGCGGGCGGGCGCGGGCGGGCGGGCGGGUGGUGUGGGCGCCGGAGGCCCCGGGGGCCCUGGGAAGGGGAACUGAUGUGACUUCCGCUGAGGGUUUCAGCAGUGGCAUCCGGGUCCGGGGUCACGGCCGUGGAUGGGGCCGGGGCCGGGGUCGCGGCCGUGGAUGGGGCCGGGGCCAAGACCGCGGAGUUCGCGGAGGCAAGGCCCAGGAUAAGGAGCGGAUGCCCGUCACCAAGCUGGACGGCCUGGCCAAGGACAUGAAGAUCAAGUCCCUAGAGGAGAUUUAUCUCUUCUCGCUGCCCAUCAAGGAAUCUGAGAUCAUUGACUUUUUCCUGGGGGCCUCUCUCAAGGACGAGGUUUUGAAGAUUAUGCCUGUGCGGAAGGAGACCCGCGCCGGCCAGCGCACCAGGUUCAAGGCGUUUGUUGCCAUCAGGGACUACAAUGGCUACGCUGGUCGGGUUGAAGUGCUCCAAGGAGGUGGCCGCCGCCAUCCGCGGGGCCAUCAUCCUGACCAAGCUCUCCAUUGUCACCGUGCGCAGAGGCUACUGGGGGAACAAGAUCGGCAAGCUCCACACCGUCCCUUGCAAGGUGACAGGCCGCUGCGGCUCUGUGCUGGUGCCCUUCAUCCCCGCGCCCAGGGGCACUGGCAUCGUCUCAGCUCCUGUGCCCAAGAAGCUGCUCAUGAUAGCUGGUAUCUACGACUGCUACACCUCAGCCAGGGGCUGCACUGCCACCCUGGGCAACUUCGCCAACGCCACCUUGGAUGCUGUCUCUAACAUCUACAGCUACCUGAUCCCCUGAAGGACUUCUGGAAGGAGACUGUAUUCACCAAGUCUCCCUAUCAGGAAUUCACUGACCACCUCGCCAAGACCCACACCAGAGUCUCCGUGCAGAGGACCCAGGCUCCAGCUGUGACUACAACAUAGGGUUUUUAUGCAAGAAAAAUAAAGUGAAUUAAAGCCUAUUACUGUCAAAAAAAAAAAAAAAAAA